UUUAAUGAAGGUUAAUUAUUUUUGAAUUUUAUUUGAAUUUCAUAAUUAAUUUUAAGAUUAUUGGCGGUGUUAAUUAAAUUCUGAGGAACUUGUUUAUUUAAAAUGAUAUUACUCGAUAAAUUUUAUCUGAUUUUUUUUUAUGUAUUGCUGUUAAAUUUAUUUGUUGAAAUAUUAAAUAGAUUAAAUUUUUUUAAUAGGAAUAUAGAAAAAAAAAGGAUUUCAAGUCAAAAUGUAGAUUUAUUCAGGUAUAAAUGAGUUACUUUAUUAGGAAAAAUGAUACUGUAAAGAGAGAUGAAAUAUUUUUUAAAUGAAGGUUGGAUUAGGAAGUAAAAAAAUAUUAAUAAGUUUUUUUGAUAUAUUUAUUAAUAUGUACAUAUCGCCCGUCGCUUAAAAGAAUUAUUUAAAUUUUUA
Molecule: ribosomal RNA, 411 nt
Filed under: Ovozomus lunatus
Lineage: Eukaryota; Metazoa; Arthropoda; Arachnida; Schizomida; Hubbardiidae
Description: partial 12S ribosomal RNA
Source: RNAcentral